CGGAGGGUGCAAGCGUUAUCCGGAUUCACUGGGUUUAAAGGGUGCGUAGGUGGGUUGGUAAGUCCGUGGUGAAAUCCCCAAGCUUAACUUGGGAACUGCCGUGGAUACUAUCAAUCUUGAAUAUCGUUGAGGUAAGCGGAAUAUGUCAUGUAGCGGUGAAAUGCUUAGAUAUGACAUAGAACACCGAUAGCGGAGGCAGCUUACUAAGCGAUCAUUGACACUGAGGCACGAAAGCGUGGGGAGCAAACAGGAUUAGAUACCCUGGUAGUCCACGCCCUAAACGAUGAUUACUCGACAUACGCGAUACACAGUGUGUGUCUGAGCGAAAGCAUUAAGUAAUCCACCUGGGAAGUACGAUCGCAAGAUUG
RNAcentral lists this ribosomal RNA (368 nucleotides) under uncultured organism. Its description in RNAcentral is "bacterial SSU rRNA". It matches the Rfam family "Bacterial small subunit ribosomal RNA", at positions 526 to 896 of the family's 1533-position model. The record is from RNAcentral.